Long non-coding RNA from Apis dorsata (giant honeybee), 885 nucleotides. RefSeq lists it as uncharacterized. The transcript is spliced from 2 exons. Lineage: Eukaryota; Metazoa; Arthropoda; Insecta; Hymenoptera; Apidae. The record is from RefSeq and is a predicted model, not a curated record.
ACAAAAGUAUGUAAAUUUCUUUAAUUUUUCUUAUCUUACAGAAAAAAAGAGGAUUAUUGCAAAGAAAAAUUUUAAUUCAAAAAUACUGGAAAACACUGGAAAACUGGUUUGCUCUAUUUCUAUCACCAUUAAUUAAACCAGGAAUAGGACGGAAGCAGACUCAUGCGAAGAUGUAAAUUCAGGAAGCUCGACUAGGCUACAGCUUGUUAAACUGGUUACCGAGAUGGGCAUAAGAGGCAAGAAGCUGUGAACAAGAGCUACAUCAAGAAUUUUGCACCAUAUUUAGAGUUCUUACUUUUUUUUCUAAUAGUUUUUUCAAAAGUGCUCAAACAUACUCUGCAGACACGUGCGAGGUGUUCACUAUUGAUAUAGUCAAGUACGUGAGAGUUUCUAGGAAAUUACAUGUCAAGCGUCACUCUGUCGAUGUGUCUAUAAGUUCAAGCUCCACGAACGUUUACAAUAUGUGUCACGCAAUCUCUCUAUCGUCAUGCUUUUCAAGUGGACACACAUACAUACACAGAGAACAAAGAUGGCAUGGAGGUGCGCAUUCACGUCGUGGGUGGUGUGAAUUGACAAGAACAUUACUCGAGCAAAAUUUUCCCCAUCGAUGGUGUUGCAGAUUUUACUGUAAUCACGUUUUCGCUAUAUAAUUAUCGCACAAAGUGGAUAUGAAUAUCGGCGAAAGUUAUUCGCCGAGACGCUCGACCCAUCUUCAACAAUUAAAGCAUUGCGAAACAAAAUCUGCUUUGUGCGUCUAUGAUUUUCCUUUAAUAUAAAAUAUAGCAAAUUAUUUCUAUCAAUAGUUAACAUAAAAGUGAUUUGAAAAUGUCAAAAAUAAUUGAAUUUGUCAUUUAUUGAUGUAUGAAGAUUGGAUAAUUAUUUAUA